Molecule: ribosomal RNA, 301 nt
Filed under: uncultured bacterium
Lineage: Bacteria
Description: partial 16S ribosomal RNA
Rfam family: Bacterial small subunit ribosomal RNA
Source: RNAcentral
CAGUCGCCGCGGUAAUACGAAGGGGGCUAGCGUUGCUCGGAAUUACUGGGCGUAAAGGGAGCGUAGGCGGACAUUUAAGUCAGGGGUGAAAUCCCAGAGCUCAACUCUGGAACUGCCUUUGAUACUGGGUGUCUUGAGUGUGAUAGAGGUAUGUGGAACUCCGAGUGUAGAGGUGAAAUUCGUAGAUAUUCGGAAGAACACCAGUGGCGAAGGCGACAUACUGGAUCAUUACUGACGCUGAGGUGCGAAAGCGUGGGGAGCAAACAGGAUUAGAUACCCGUGUAGUCCCUGUCUCUUAUAA